UAGCGUAGAUUUUGUAGUCCUAGUGUUACCUUUAACUAAUACUCAGGUGACCGAUUAUGCCUGCGAGUCUCCCCUUUAUAUUUUGUCAUGAAACUGAUAGAGUUAGUUUGCCUGGCAAAAUUAUCUUUAAAAAAAUACUUAGGAUUUUUAACUUGAACAAAAUUUCACCUGUCCAAUUCCUGGUCAUUCCAGCACUCAUUUUUACUUUGGUUUUUCAGCUUCCUGAGCCUAAUUGUGAUGGUGACACCCUGGCCACAGGGGCAUUUCCUGUCCCUUAAAAAAAGAAGGAGGUUACCUUUUAAUCUGAUCCAUAUCUGGAGACAGUGUUUGGAUAAAGGUUACUGGAGAAGCCUGGCUGAUUGACGAGAAUAAAUUUCCUGAGACUCUGGCAUAUUGUAGGACUUGGAGAGCUCUAUUGCUGUAGAAAAUGUCAGGACUGUGGAGUGUUGUGACCUUGUUGGUGGUAAACAGAAGACUGUGACCUUGAAUCUGAAGAUCUGUGAUGGAGGAUGUUUGGGGUCACUGCUACAGUACUAUAAAUCUAAUCACAAAGAGGUUGUCUCUGAUGUCCACACAUAAAUCCCAUGGCCAGCGUAAAUCACAGUGAAUGUAGCGGAGGAACUGUCCAUCCUGAUCUAGGAUGUGGAUACGGUCAUUGUCACAGUCUGCUGUCAGGAUGUGACUCUGGCUGUCUGUAGUGAUGCCGACUGGUUUAAAUGAUUGCUUGGUAUUAGAGGGAUGACCAGUGUAUCUAAAUCGGAGUUUUCCUGACUGAUUGACCACCACUACUGCACUAGCUUUAUUGUCAGCCACACAGAUAUCCAGGUUCCUGUUCUCACUGAGGUAUUUAUCACCACCAGAUGAGUAGAGAGGACGACCCUGAUCAUCAAACUGAAUGCUUUGUUUCUCUGUGGAGCCGGAGUAACGCACGACUUUGGAUUGUUUUCCAUCAUCACUGACCAUGGUAACCAGGAGAUGGUUAGAGGCGGUACAGCACACAUAGCCAGGUCUCCACCCCUGUAGUGUGAUCACGGUUGAGUUGAGUGGAAUAAUGAACCUCCAGAUAUCUAUGUACAUGCACACGUGUAUGAUUAAACUGUUGUUACACUCGCGCAAGUGAGCUUAUCCUA
Ostrea edulis (European flat oyster) is the source of this 1130-nucleotide long non-coding RNA. RefSeq lists it as uncharacterized. The record is from RefSeq and is a predicted model, not a curated record. The transcript has 5 exons. Lineage: Eukaryota; Metazoa; Mollusca; Bivalvia; Ostreida; Ostreidae.